Peromyscus maniculatus bairdii (prairie deer mouse) is the source of this 257-nucleotide non-coding RNA. NCBI's taxonomy places the organism in Eukaryota, Metazoa, Chordata, Mammalia, Rodentia, Cricetidae. The record is from RefSeq and is a predicted model, not a curated record.
GCCUGGGCCUACCCCUGAUCCUGAAGAGGCCUGGGCCCUAACAAGAAGAGAUAUGGGCCUGGGCCUACCCCAGACCCUUAAGAGGCCUAGGCCCAAACAAUAAAUGAGGGCCUGGGCCUAACCCUGAUCCAGAAGAGGCCUGGGCCCAACAAGAAGAUAUGUGAGCCUGGGCCUACCCCUGACCCUGAAGAGGCCUGGGCCCAACAAGAAGAGAUUUGGGCCUGGGCCUACCCCUGUCACUGAAGAGGCCUGGGCCC